GAAUGCUGACAUAAGUAACGAUAAAGCGGGUGAAAAGCCCGCUCGCCGGAAGACCAAGGGUUCCUGUCCAACGUUAAUCGGGGCAGGGUGAGUCGACCCCUAAGGCGAGGCCGAAAGGCGUAGUCGAUGGGAAACAGGUUAAUAUUCCUGUACUUGGUGUUACUGCGAAGGGGGGACGGAGAAGGCUAUGUUGGCCGGGCGACGGUUGUCCCGGUUUAAGCGUGUAGGCUGGUUUUCCAGGCAAAUCCGGAAAAUCAAGGCUGAGGCGUGAUGACGAGGCACUACGGUGCUGAAGCAACAAAUGCCCUGCUUCCAGGAAAAGCCUCUAAGCAUCAGGUAACAUCAAAUCG
Molecule: ribosomal RNA, 350 nt
Filed under: Escherichia coli
Lineage: Bacteria; Pseudomonadati; Pseudomonadota; Gammaproteobacteria; Enterobacterales; Enterobacteriaceae
Description: partial 23S ribosomal RNA
Rfam family: Bacterial large subunit ribosomal RNA
Source: RNAcentral